Molecule: ribosomal RNA, 253 nt
Filed under: uncultured bacterium
Lineage: Bacteria
Description: partial 16S ribosomal RNA
Rfam family: Bacterial small subunit ribosomal RNA
Source: RNAcentral
UACAGAGGGCUCAAGCGUUGUUCGGAUUCAUUGGGCGUAAAGGGUGCGUAGGCGGCGCGGUAAGUCGGGUGUGAAAUCUCGGGGCUUAACUCCGAAACUGCAUUCGAUACUACCGUGCUUGAGGACUGGAGAGGAGACUGGAAUUUACGGUGUAGCGGUGAAAUGCGUAGAUAUCGUAAGGAAGACCAGUGGCGAAGGCGGGUCUCUGGACAGUUACUGACGCUGAGGCACGAAGGCCAGGGGAGCAAACGGG